RNAcentral lists this ribosomal RNA (403 nucleotides) under Verrucomicrobiota bacterium. RNAcentral describes it as "Verrucomicrobia bacterium partial 16S ribosomal RNA". It matches the Rfam family "Bacterial small subunit ribosomal RNA", at positions 355 to 776 of the family's 1533-position model. Lineage: Bacteria; Pseudomonadati; Verrucomicrobiota. The record is from RNAcentral.
UGGGGAAUAUUGCACAAUGGGCGCAAGCCUGAUGCAGCAACGCCGCGUGAACGAUGAAGGUCUUCGGAUCGUAAAGUUCUGUUGCAGGGGAAGAUAAUGACGGUACCCUGUGAGGAAGCCCCGGCUAACUACGUGCCAGCAGCCGCGGUAAUACGUAGGGGGCUAGCGUUAUCCGGAUUUACUGGGCGUAAAGGGUGCGUAGGUGGUCUUUCAAGUCGGUGGUUAAAGGCUACGGCUCAACCGUAGUUAGCCUCCGAAACUGGAAUACUUGAGUGCAGGAGAGGAAAGUGGAAUUCCCAGUGUAGCGGUGAAAUGCGUAGAUAUUGGGAGGAACACCAGUAGCGAAGGCGGCUUUCUGGACUGCAACUGACACUGAGGCACGAAAGCGUGGGUAGCAAACAGG